This 72-nucleotide transfer RNA is filed under the name archaeon. Its description in RNAcentral is "tRNA-Asp". It matches the Rfam family "tRNA". From Rfam's summary of the family: Transfer RNA (tRNA) molecules are approximately 80 nucleotides in length. Their secondary structure includes four short double-helical elements and three loops (D, anti-codon, and T loops). The record is from RNAcentral. RNAcentral also lists the same sequence under 3 other names.
GCCUCAAUAGUAUAGUGGUUAGUACACGGCCCUGUCGCGGCCGAGAUCCGGGUUCAAUCCCCGGUUGGGGCG